RNAcentral lists this transfer RNA (77 nucleotides) under Elusimicrobia bacterium RIFOXYB2_FULL_49_7. RNAcentral's name for it is "tRNA-Met". It matches the Rfam family "tRNA". From Rfam's summary of the family: Transfer RNA (tRNA) molecules are approximately 80 nucleotides in length. The record is from RNAcentral. Lineage: Bacteria; Pseudomonadati; Elusimicrobiota.
CGCGGGGUGGAGCAGUCCGGUAGCUCGGCGGGCUCAUAACCCGUAGGUCGUUGGUUCAAAUCCAGCCCCCGCUACCA